RNAcentral lists this ribosomal RNA (493 nucleotides) under uncultured bacterium. RNAcentral's name for it is "partial 16S ribosomal RNA". It matches the Rfam family "Bacterial small subunit ribosomal RNA", at positions 29 to 523 of the family's 1533-position model. The record is from RNAcentral.
AUUGAACGCUGGCGGCAUGCCUUACACACGCAAGUCGAACGGUAACAGGUUAAGCUGACGAGUGGCGAACGGGUGAGUAAUGCAUCGGAACGUGCCCGGUCGUGGGGGAUAACGCAGCGAAAGCUGCGCUAAUACCGCAUACGAUCUAAGGAUGAAAGCGGGGGACCGUAAGGCCUCGCGCGAUCGGAGCGGCCGAUGUCAGAUUAGGUAGUUGGUGGGGUAAAGGCGCACCAAGCCAACGAUCUGUAGCUGGUCUGAGAGGACGACCAGCCACACUGGGACUGAGACACGGCCCAGACUCCUACGGGAGGCAGCAGUGGGGAAUUUUGGACAAUGGGCGAAAGCCUGAUCCAGCAAUGCCGCGUGCAGGAAGAAGGCCUUCGGGUUGUAAACUGCUUUUGUACGGAGCGAAAAGGUCUCCUCUAAUACAGGGGGCUCAUGACGGUACCGUAAGAAUAAGCACCGGCUAACUACGUGCCAGCCGCCGCCGUAA